This is a non-coding RNA of Myodes glareolus (Bank vole), 1319 nucleotides long. The record is from RefSeq and is a predicted model, not a curated record. Lineage: Eukaryota; Metazoa; Chordata; Mammalia; Rodentia; Cricetidae.
GGGAGGAGAGGAGAGCAGAGGCGUGCUGACUGGCAAGUCCGUCGGCGAAGCUCAGCCGCCAGGAACCUCGGCCCCACAGCCAUUGUUGCCCCAAGAGGGUGGGCAGACUGGACCUUUGGCAAAUACUCGUGCCACAGGUUUGGUUCUGCUUUGGGUUGGGUAGGGUGGGGCUUGGGGAGGACCUAGAAGAUUCAGCACUAGAGAGCGAAGAGGCAGAUGCAUUGACGGACAAACCAGGGAAGACAGCUUAGUCAUACAUGCUGGAUUUUAAUCCGGUUACACCGAAUCAUUUCACGCUAGACCGACUACGAAAACGUACCGGGCCGUCCACCUCAGAGGGAGCCCCGUGAGCCAUUAUAAGCGGUGGCUACGUCCUUCUCACAACGUGGCGUGCUUCGAGCCCUGAGGGCUGAGACGCUUCUGGUCUGCCUGCUCCGCUCUAAAUUCCAGUCCCUGGGAAAUGCUGGGCCUUAGCCCUGGCCUCAGCCAAGGGAUCCUUUCAAAGCCCUCGAAUCACAAGCUAUCCACUCAUUUCAACCUCCCCACCACACCAUCCCUAAACUCCAGAAGACGGGACUGUCAAAUCCACGUUUCCCAGGCUCCUGGGAGCGUUCCUGCAGCAUCCAGGAAGGGCAAGAGCUGCUUUCAACAUAAUGAUGCUUCAAGAUUGAGGUUUUAAAGAAAGAAAGCAUUUGUGAAAUGGGGGUAAAGGAGCAAACAUAGGAUUUCUUUUUUUAAAGGAAGUAGCCUCCCACUCCUAUAUUUUCUUCAAUGUCAAGCGAAAUGAAAAUAUUUCCAGGGUGAUCGAUCGCGGCGGCUACCGGCUUCCAAUACUGCCUAGAAGCUGAAGAGGAGGUGGAGUGCCGAGGAGAAACCGCCACACGGUCACCAGCGCGUGAGCGCGGAUCCUGGCGUGGAGAGAGACAUACGGAGCGCGCACGUGUUACCUGCUUUAUUUCGGGACUGUUUGGUACUGUGUUCGCGCUGGGCAGCUCUCCGCCCGGAAGGCCGCCCCCGCACGCCGCCCUCAGCCCCACUUCGCGGCCGAGCUCGCCGAGGGCCUCAGAAACCAGUAAGUACCGGCCUGGCCGCGGCCGCCCCCGCCCCAGAUCCCAGGCUAGGCUCCCCCGAAACCCGGCUCUCCCGGGACGCUAGCCCGUGGGCUCCAAGGGCGCUCCCAGGGCUACAGCGUUUCUAAGGUUCACGCCCUCUCCCGCACCCUCACAGCUCGCCCCUCCGCCGCGCCCCCGCUCUUAGAGACAAAAUUGGAUACAAACUUUAAUCAGUAAGGAUAAAUAUUGACGCGCAAAGGAAAAUAA